RNAcentral lists this non-coding RNA (71 nucleotides) under Candidatus Neoanaerotignum galli. RNAcentral's name for it is "ZMP/ZTP riboswitch". It matches the Rfam family "ZMP/ZTP riboswitch aptamer (pfl RNA motif)", at positions 6 to 81 of the family's 86-position model. Rfam says of the family: Previously known as pfl RNA. ZMP is also known as AICAR. The record is from RNAcentral. Lineage: Bacteria; Bacillati; Bacillota; Clostridia.
UCCAUAUGACUGGCGGAACGUGGAGCUUACCACAGGGAGUAUGGAUGGAUUUUGCCGGCCGCCUGGGCAAA